UCCGUUUUGUUCCCGCCACAAAGGACCGUAAAAAUAUCGCGAGAUUUCGUAGAGCACAACCGCGGUUUUAUUUGCUCAAGCUCAGAAAAAUCUGAAAGGGAAAACUGUCCUGCUUUGGAGAAUGGUGGUGGCUCAGAGGGUUACGGCUCCGUGAACAAGAACUGGGAUUCCGGUAACAUCUUUCCGGGGCCUGUCCAAGAUCUGAUACACCAGCACUCAUAAGCUUGCCACAGGGAAUUCAGAGUGACAACGGAUCGGCCUUUAAGGCAGCCGGAACCCAGGGAGUGUCCCAAGCUUUAGGAAUAAAAUAUCAUUUGCACUGUGCUUGGAGACCACACGCAUCAGGAAAAGUGGAAAAAACUGAUGACUUGAUGAAACGUCGCCUACAAAAACUAUCACAGGAAACUCAUCUUCCCUGGUAAUCCCUCCUUCCCUUGGCCUUAAUACGGAUUAGGGAAACUCCUAGGAGUCAGGGGCUUAGUCCAUUUGAAAUAUUAUAUGGACGGCCCUCUCUUAGAAAUGAUCUCCUGCUUGAUCAGCAGACGGCUGAACUUACGAAGUAUAUGAGCAAUCUAGCCGUUGUUCAACAACAACUUUCGAACUUGAAAAACAGUCUAGAUCAGAGGAAAGAAAGUGAGAAACCUCUUUAUCACUCAGGGGAUAUAGUAUUAGUAAGUCCCUCCCCAACAAUUCUCCUUCACUGGAGCCUAUCUGGGAAGGACCCUGCACUGUCAACCUUUCCUCCUCUACCGCUGUUGAGGUUGCAGCACUUUAUGCUUGGAUUCACCACACAGGAACCAAAGCCUGGAACCUGGAGAAAGAAGAUGCCCCACCCUCAACUACCGAGGAAAACUCCCCUGAAUACCAACGCAACCCUCUGGAGGAAAUCAAGGGACCAUUCCAACAAACAAGGGAACAAUCAUAAUGAAACUAGUGGUCAGUGUAAUUGCUUUUCUCUCCUUUGCCAUGGGGGAUUCUUCCACUUCCUUACAGUGGGUACAGGGAAAUGUUUUGUCUCCUGGGCUCACUCCUAUGCCCACUUCCAGAAUCAAUCAGACUGCUGUGUCUGCAGAGCAUUACCUAUGUCGUUUGUAGAAGGAUUCCACAUAGGGAAAUAACUGCUUGCAAGUAUGUGAAUUCCUACAUCAGAAUGUGACUGAUUCCCUACAAGAUCUCUGGCAGCAAAUCCAUAAGUUGUCCUGUCCAACUCCAGCUUUUGGCACUACCCUCCAGAACUGGUUAACAUCCUCUUCCUGGUGGAAAUGUUUGUUUACAACAAUCGCAAUCAUCAUGCGGUCUUUUUUUUUUUUUUUCUUUCUCUUUUUAGGGCUGCAC
Phacochoerus africanus (Common warthog) is the source of this 1335-nucleotide long non-coding RNA. RefSeq lists it as uncharacterized. NCBI's taxonomy places the organism in Eukaryota, Metazoa, Chordata, Mammalia, Artiodactyla, Suidae. The transcript is spliced from 3 exons. The record is from RefSeq and is a predicted model, not a curated record.